RNAcentral lists this ribosomal RNA (468 nucleotides) under uncultured bacterium. RNAcentral describes it as "partial 16S ribosomal RNA". It matches the Rfam family "Bacterial small subunit ribosomal RNA", at positions 28 to 507 of the family's 1533-position model. The record is from RNAcentral.
GACGAACGCUGGCGGCGUGCUUAACACAUGCAAGUCGAACGGAAAGGCCCUGCUUUUGUGGGGUGCUCGAGUGGCGAACGGGUGAGUAACACGUGAGUAACCUGCCCUUGACUUUGGGAUAACUUCGGGAAACUGGGGCUAAUACCGGAUAGGAGCUCCUGCUGCAUGGUGGGGGUUGGAAAGUUUCGGCGGUUGGGGAUAGACUCGCGGCUUAUCAGCUUGUUGGUGGGGUAGUGGCUUACCAAGGCUUUGACGGGUAGCCGGCCUGAGAGGGUGACCGGCCACAUUGGGACUGAGAUACGGCCCAGACUCCUACGGGAGGCAGCAGUGGGGAAUAUUGCACAAUGGGCGGAAGCCUGAUGCAGCAACGCCGCGUGCGGGAUGACGGCCUUCGGGUUGUAAACCGCUUUCGCCUGUGACGAAGCGUGAGUGACGGUAAUGGGUAAAGAAGCACCGGCUAACUACGUG